UGAGUGACGGGCACUGAGGGGGGCACUUGACAGGAUGAGCACUGGGGAUUAUACUAUAUGUUGGCAAAUUGAACUCCAAUAAAAAUAUACAAAAAUAAAUAAAUUUGGUCGGUAUCUAUAACUGCUGUUUGUCAGAUAAAAUUCUAACCAUAUUAUCGAUAGGAAGACUUGUAUAAAUUUUUUAUAUGCAUUACGCUAUGUGGAAUUAUUAGCUUUAUGUAUUUGCUAUGCAUUUGGAGAGUUACAGUGGGUAACAAAUGUCUCAGUAGUUAUCAAGUGCUACAGUUAAAAUUUGCCAUGUUUUACAAAUCAAACACAGGGGACAAUGUUAACUUCUAAACCACUAUAGCAAAGUCUGGCAUCUCUCAUACUCAUAUGUACUUAUUACAUAUAUGUGCUUUCUAAAGGCUGCUACUUAGAUGUAGGUUUUCAUUCAAUAUUAAGGAACAAAAACAAUGGAUCUCAGAUAUGCAGUUUUAGACUCGAUGUCAUUAAAUAUUGAUAUGAAUAAUUUAGCCAAUAGAUGCUCGGAUUUAAGGUUAACACGUUUUUCACUUAUAUUAAAAUAUCUCCAAAGAGCAUGUUUGCCAGUAAAGUGAUUGUUAUUUGUACUUAAGAAUAUAAGUACUGUUUUUAGCACUUCUAAUGUUUUUAUAUAAUGUUCCCUUUUCUACCACACUCUACUCCCUGUUACCCAUACCAGCUACUAAAGUAUAAUAUUAGAAUUACUAGAUAUUCCUAUAGUAACUUCUACUGAGAUCAGAAAAACUCAUUAAGGCCUGUCCCACAUAUAAAAUAUGAUCAGAAUGCUCAAUUUUAAAAUUUCUGAAUGUUUAGUUUUUAGCCUGAGGUCAACAUACCUUCCUAAAUAUGAAAUUCCCUAAGUUUUAUGCAAAAUUCUGAUAUGAAUGUACCUUUUUUCUCAGGGAAGAAAGACUUCUUGUAACCAGAUUCCCAGAAUGUUUCAUGGCCCUAAAAUGAUGGUUGAUCACUGGACUGGAGACUGCAUUCUCAUGUUUACUUUGAUUUGCAAUCGCUGUAGCAAAGUAUUGAGUGCCACCAAGAGGCAACCUUAAUUACAUUUUAACAGGAGAUGGCAGUCAGCAUGUGUAUAAGAAACUGUCUGUGUGCUGGAGCUAAACCAAAGUUGAUAUGUGAAGGAAAUCCUUAUGUAUUAGGAAUCCGUGAUACAGACAGUGCUCAGAAACAGCUUACUAAAGCUAAAAGAAUAAUGAUCAUAGGGAAUGGCGGCAUUGCACUUGAACUGAGAGAGAGCAUGAGCCAGGGGAGAGGCAAAGGGAGAAGGAGAAACAGACUCCUCGUUGCCCUGUGCUGUGCCAGGAGCCUAAAACAGGGCUCCACCCCAGGACCAGAUUAUGACCUGAGCCAAAAGCAGACACUUAACCAUCUUAGCAACCCAGAAGGAAAAAAGAAGCACAGAACAAAGCUGAUGCUGGUAAUAUGGGCAGUACCUUAGGACCAGAUUGGCAUAAAGGCUUGAAUCUUAAAGGUACAAAAGAGUUUGAUCUAGGAGAAGAUGGUGGCCUGAAAGCAGAUGCUCACAUGCACACAUCUGUUUCUGAUGUCCAUGCUGUGGGUGACAUCUGCACUGCGUCCAGACCGCCCAGCCCAGUCUGGCAGUAGAUGAGGCUGUGGACCCAGGCUAGACAGAUGGGAUGAUAUGCAGCGAAGCGCACGGCUGCAGCUAGUUUAGAAGAAUCUAUUGACAUGGACGUCAGCUUUGAACUUUUUACUUAGGUAACAAAAUUUAACUAUAAGGGCUGGCCAGAACUUCUCAUGUGCCAACUGAUAUACCCUGUGAAGCUCAAGAAGGGAAAAACAGCUGCAGCCUUUCUCAAAUUUGACCCUGGAGCUCCUUUCACCCAGGGCACCAUUAAUAUCUUCUGAAAAUCUGUAGAACAGCUUUGAAAUGCUUUUACACAAACUCUGUGCUUCAGUAACUCCUGUCUAUGCAUAAAUUCUGGAGCAUGGAUACAAAUACUCUCCACCUACAGUUAACUCAUUCAAUAUAUACUAUUUAUUCCUUGCUGUAUCCUUUUCUAUAAAGGACUAUGUAUUACAUCUCUUCAGAAAAUCACUGCUUAACCUUCUAUCUUAUACACAGUGGAUACUUACUAAAUAUGUGCUGUUGAUACUUAGCAUUAUGUGUUAGGUCCACUAUUUAAAGCAAUUAGGUGCUGGACUCUUAUAAUCUGUCCCAUGAGCAAACGACACAUCCAAUUUCUAAGAUCACCAAGUAAACUAAUUCUUUCAUAACAUUUUCAAGUAUCUUCUAACAUGCAUUAAUAUUUCUGGCAGCUCAUCAUUCACUAGAUCAAUGUAAUAUUAAUUACUUUUUUAAAGUUCUGUCUUCAAAGUUGGUUUGUUUUUGCAUUACCUGAUUGCCCUUUGUAUCUCCCAUUAAUGAGCUUUACAAUAUCCUCGAUAACAUCUUCCGUGUUGGAGGGCUUCUGCCGAAUCUAAGAAAAAGCUAACUUAGUACAAAGUAAAUUAAUGAGCCUCAUCCACAUAGCCAUUUGCUUAACAACUUUCAGGGUGCUGUGCUUUUAUGGGUACAAUGCUUAUCUCUUACUCAUAUUCACCUCCCCUGACCCUGCCACCACCCAGACUCUUCUUGAUCCUUGGUUUUGAAUUUACUAGGAAUGAGGAGGCACAGAAGCAGCAAAUAACCUGUAAAGAUGGAGACCUUUUUUAUUUUCUGGUGUUUAUUUUUUUUUUAUGUAGGCUCCAUGCCCAGUAUGGAAGCCCAAUGUAGGGCUUGAUCUCAUAACCUGAAGUUAAGACCUAAACUGA
This is an RNA transcript of Canis lupus familiaris (dog), 2814 nucleotides long. RefSeq lists it as uncharacterized. The transcript is spliced from 8 exons. Lineage: Eukaryota; Metazoa; Chordata; Mammalia; Carnivora; Canidae. The record is from RefSeq and is a predicted model, not a curated record.